CCUAGCCGUAAACAAAAACAGUGCAAACACAACACUGUUCGCCAGAGAACUACAAGAAUAAACUCGAAACUCCAAGGACUUGGCGGUGCUCCACAUCACCCUAGAGGAGCCUGUCCUGUAAUCGAUACCCCACGAUCAACCUCACCCUUUUUUGAAGCUCAGCCUAUAUACCGCCGUCGCCAGCCUACCUUAUGAAAGGAACAAAGUAGGCAAAACAGUUAUCAACUAAAACGUCAGGUCAAGGUGUAGCAUAUAAAACGGAAGAGAUGGGCUACACUCUCUAACCCAGAGAAAACGAACAGCACAAUGAAAUAGGUGCUUAAAGGUGGAUUUAGUAGUAAGAUGGGUAAGAGAGCCCGUCUUAAAUUAGCCCUGGAGCGCGCACACACCGCCCGUCA
Molecule: ribosomal RNA, 398 nt
Filed under: Emoia cyanura (blue-tailed skink)
Lineage: Eukaryota; Metazoa; Chordata; Lepidosauria; Squamata; Scincidae
Description: partial 12S ribosomal RNA
Rfam family: Bacterial small subunit ribosomal RNA
Source: RNAcentral